Molecule: ribosomal RNA, 227 nt
Filed under: Leptodophora cf. orchidicola
Lineage: Eukaryota; Fungi; Ascomycota; Leotiomycetes; Helotiales
Description: Cadophora cf. orchidicola partial 18S ribosomal RNA
Source: RNAcentral
GGACCUCCUAAAGCUCAACCUACUCCCUGCCACCGAAAGGUGGUAGCAUAGUUAAAAUGGUUGGGAUGUUACAAUGGACGAUCCGCAGCGAAGACCCUAAAGCGUCAGCCACGGGUAACGUUCACAGACUAAGUGAUUGUGGGUAGGCUUCUACUUAAGAUAUAGUCGAGCCCUAGCCGAAAGGUUGGGGGUAAAGGUCCGUAGGUGAACCUGCGGAAGGAUCAUUA